GACUGACUCCCCAGGGACAUGAGGUGGAUACUGUUCAUUGGGGCCCUUAUUGGGUCCAGCAUCUGUGGCCAAGAAAAAUUUUUUGGGGACCAAGUUUUUAGGAUUAAUGUCAGAAAUGGAGACGAGAUCAGCAAAUUGAGUCAACUAGUGAAUUCAAACAACUUGAAGCUCAAUUUCUGGAAAUCUCCCUCCUCCUUCAAUCGGCCUGUGGAUGUCCUGGUCCCAUCUGUCAGUCUGCAGGCAUUUAAAUCCUUCCUGAGAUCCCAGGGCUUAGAGUACGCAGUGACAAUUAAGGACCUGCAGGCCCUUUUAGACAAUGAAGAUGAUGAAAUGCAACACAAUGAAGGGCAAGAACGGAGCAGUAAUAACUUCAACUAUGGGGCUUACCAUUCCCUGGAAGCUAUUUACCACGAGAUGGACAACAUUGCCGCAGACUUUCCUGAUCUGGCGAGGAGGGUGAAGAUUGGACAUUCGUUUGAAAACCGGCCGAUGUAUGUACUGAAGGUGAGGCCACAUGCACUUGGAAGGGUCUCCUGGGUCCCCAUGCCCAGGACCCAGCCUCAGACCU
Molecule: small RNA, 568 nt
Filed under: Pan troglodytes (chimpanzee)
Lineage: Eukaryota; Metazoa; Chordata; Mammalia; Primates; Hominidae
Description: retained intron
Source: RNAcentral